UGGGGGAUAUUGCACAAUGGGGGAAACCCUGAUGCAGCAACGCCGCGUGAAGGAAGAAGGUCUUCGGAUUGUAAACUUUUGUCUUGCGGGACGAAUAAUGACGGUACCGCAGGAGGAAGCCACGGCUAACUACGUGCCAGCAGCCGCGGUAAUACGUAGGUGGCGAGCGUUGUCCGGAAUUACUGGGUGUAAAGGGUGCGUAGGCGGAUUUGCAAGUCAGGUGUGAAAACUAUCGGCUUAACCGGUAGCCUGCACUUGAAACUGUGAGUCUUGAGUGGUGAAGAGGUAAGCGGAAUUCCUAGUGUAGCGGUGAAAUGCGUAGAUAUUAGGAGGAACACCAGUGGCGAAGGCGGCUUACUGGGCACUAACUGACGCUGAGGCACGAAAGCAUGGGGAGCAAACA
Molecule: ribosomal RNA, 403 nt
Filed under: uncultured prokaryote
Description: bacterial SSU rRNA
Rfam family: Bacterial small subunit ribosomal RNA
Source: RNAcentral